GGAGCGAUACUCAAGUGGCUGAAGAGGACGGUUUGCUAAAUCGUUAGGGGUCGCAAGGCCCGCCAGGGUUCAAAUCCCUGUCGCUCCGCCA
Molecule: transfer RNA, 91 nt
Filed under: Propionispora sp. 2/2-37
Lineage: Bacteria; Bacillati; Bacillota; Negativicutes; Selenomonadales; Sporomusaceae
Description: tRNA-Ser
Rfam family: tRNA
About the family: Transfer RNA (tRNA) molecules are approximately 80 nucleotides in length. Their secondary structure includes four short double-helical elements and three loops (D, anti-codon, and T loops).
Source: RNAcentral